RNAcentral lists this transfer RNA (360 nucleotides) under uncultured Microcystis sp. RNAcentral describes it as "partial 16S-23S ribosomal RNA intergenic spacer". The stretch from base 134 to 207 matches the Rfam family "tRNA". The record is from RNAcentral. Lineage: Bacteria; Bacillati; Cyanobacteriota; Cyanophyceae; Chroococcales; Microcystaceae.
AAAGGGAGACCUAAUUCGGGUAUAAGACGAAAAAAAAGUAGUCCCUACCAAGAAUCAAUCCCAAAAGGUCGGAACGAGGUAUGAGGCUUUCAAACUAGGUUCUGGGUUCAUAAAAGACCUGAAUCAGGAACAAGGGCUAUUAGCUCAGGUGGUUAGAGCGCACCCCUGAUAAGGGUGAGGUCCCUGGUUCGAGUCCAGGAUGGCCCACCUGCACAGGUGGCAAAAACAAGAGAAGCGAGGAAUCAGCACCUUAUCUUAUAUACAUAUAUAAGAGAGAAUGCUGGCUCUGAGUACAGAGUCCAGAGGAACCUUGAAAACUGCAUAGAGCUAGGUGAAAAAGCUAAAAAAGAAGACCGCAAG